Long non-coding RNA from Zophobas morio, 1393 nucleotides. RefSeq lists it as uncharacterized. Lineage: Eukaryota; Metazoa; Arthropoda; Insecta; Coleoptera; Tenebrionidae. The transcript is spliced from 3 exons. The record is from RefSeq and is a predicted model, not a curated record.
CGCGUCGCCUGGUUUUUGACGUUUUAGGGACACAGAACUCUAUAGGCAUCUGUCUAUAACCGAUGUAAUUAAUAAAAGAAAUCGUAUUUAUCGACUCCGAUCAAAUGUCAUUUACAAAUUUUGUAUUGUUCAUAAAGCAAUGUAAACGAAAAUCCCCAAAAUAACUAGAACGAUUUCCGCUCGACAAGGUAGAGGCGCUAGCUGUAUGUGUCCUUUCCAUGGAUAUAGGGAUCGAAAAGAAGCGUCGCCAUCCCAAGCCAUUAGUGUACAAACCUAUCUAUUCUAAACUCAAAUCCAUAAGGUUGUAACCACUCCCUAGUGUAAAUUUUAAAAAAUUAUUCAGUGUAAAUCUGUUUUUUAGUAACCUAGUGACAUGCCUGGUGACCUGUCAAUAUAAUGUCAGUUCAUUCAUGUAUUCGCGAUCGAUCGUGAUUACGUUCGAUUUCAUUGCAAUUCUUGCACUCCUGCACAAGUUAUUUCAUAAUUAUCAUUGUAACUUGUCACAAUAUUGUAAAAAUUGAUAAACAAUUUUCAAUAAAAACACGAUAACCUGAGUCUUCAUGGUAAUUAUGAUACAAGAGCAACGAUAAAUGGAAACGUGUUUUAUCUUUCAUCUGCAGAAAGAAGAAUGCCACCUGCUGUAAUUUAGACUUGCAGUUGAUACGUUUACGAAUUACGAUAAAACGAACCCAAAAAUAUUGUGGUCACGAAUAAAAUCAGAUAUUGGGCUGGUAAAAAAACAAGAUGGGGAAUAACUGAAUACCUAAUUCAGAAUUUGUUUAAAUUAUUGUACAUGAGUGUACGUGAUAUAUGUGUGGCUAACCGUGAUAUGAUUUGACUCGAAGGACCAGCUCUCUCAAUUGAAAUGAUCAAUCUCGCAAGCAACACCAAAAUUGUUUAUAAUGGGUAGAUAACUGUUCACCUUAAUUAGUCGCAACAGAUGACCAAUUUUUCAUCAAAAAAAUGAGACACCAAGAAGUCUUUAAUGUUAUGUUUAAUAACUCUAAUUUGGUACUACUAAUUAUUUACAAAGUGUACAAGAAAUUUGGUUGAAGGUGAUAGGCCUGGCUACGCUCCUCCGUCCUGAGGAUUUUAGUGGUAAUAAUGAACAAAAUGUAACUUCACAAAAUUCAGAAGCUAAAAUAAUAGGAGUGGUUAGAAACAUUGGGAACACAUAGACCAAAUAACCAAAAAGCAAUUAUUUUUCUGUUGUUAACUUUCUUAAAUCUGAAUCCCAUGGAUUUUAAUACUCGACGUAAAGUAUUUAAACUUGCUGUAUAUUGCAGAUGUUCUUUCGCAAAAAUAAACAAUUCCCAAAUAGUAAAAAACUCAUUUUUUUUUGUUUUUGUCAAAUAUACGGUAGGUUAGAUCUUCUUUAAAUUCCAAAUUUGAA